This 75-nucleotide transfer RNA is filed under the name Thermodesulfovibrio yellowstonii DSM 11347. RNAcentral's name for it is "tRNA-Val". It matches the Rfam family "tRNA". Rfam says of the family: Transfer RNA (tRNA) molecules are approximately 80 nucleotides in length. Their secondary structure includes four short double-helical elements and three loops (D, anti-codon, and T loops). Further hydrogen bonds mediate the characteristic L-shaped molecular structure. tRNAs have two regions of fundamental functional importance: the anti-codon, which is responsible for specific mRNA codon recognition, and the 3' end, to which the tRNAs corresponding amino acid is attached (by aminoacyl-tRNA synthetases). tRNAs cope with the degeneracy of the genetic code in two manners: having more than one tRNA (with a specific anti-codon) for a particular amino acid; and 'wobble' base-pairing, i.e. permitting non-standard base-pairing at the 3rd anti-codon position. The record is from RNAcentral. Lineage: Bacteria; Pseudomonadati; Nitrospirota; Thermodesulfovibrionia; Thermodesulfovibrionales; Thermodesulfovibrionaceae.
GGGCGAUUAGCUCAGGGGGAGAGCGCUUCCUUCACACGGAAGAGGUCGUGGGUUCAAAUCCCUCAUCGCCCAUCC